RNAcentral lists this ribosomal RNA (497 nucleotides) under uncultured bacterium. Its description in RNAcentral is "partial 16S ribosomal RNA". It matches the Rfam family "Bacterial small subunit ribosomal RNA", at positions 28 to 507 of the family's 1533-position model. The record is from RNAcentral.
GAUGAACGCUGGCGGCGUGCCUAAUACAUGCAAGUCGAGCGAACAGACGAGGAGCUUGCUUCUUUGACGUUAGCGGCGGACGGGUGAGUAACACGUAGGUAACCUACCUAUAAGACUGGGAUAACUUCGGGAAACCGGAGCUAAUACCGGAUAAUAUUUCGAACCGCAUGGUUCGAUAGUGAAAGAUGGCUUUGCUAUCACUUAUAGAUGGACCUGCGCCGUAUUAGCUAGUUGGUAAGGUAACGGCUUACCAAGGCAACGAUACGUAGCCGACCUGAGAGGGUGAUCGGCCACACUGGAACUGAGACACGGUCCAGACUCCUACGGGAGGCAGCAGUAGGGAAUCUUCCGCAAUGGGCGAAAGCCUGACGGAGCAACGCCGCGUGAGUGAUGAAGGUCUUCGGAUCGUAAAACUCUGUUAUUAGGGAAGAACAAACGUGUAAGUAACUGUGCACGUCUUGACGGUACCUAAUCAGAAAGCCACGGCUAACUACGUG